RNAcentral lists this ribosomal RNA (254 nucleotides) under uncultured bacterium. RNAcentral describes it as "partial 16S ribosomal RNA". It matches the Rfam family "Bacterial small subunit ribosomal RNA", at positions 524 to 776 of the family's 1533-position model. The record is from RNAcentral.
UACGUAGGGGGCGAGCGUUGUCCGGAUUCAUUGGGCGUAAAGAGCUCGUAGGCGGCUUGGCAAGCCGGGUGUGAAACCUCCAGGCUCAACCUGGAGACGCCACCCGGGACUGCUAUGGCUAGAGUCCGGUAGGGGAUCACGGAAUUCCUGGUGUAGCGGUGAAAUGCGUAGAUAUCAAGCGGAACACCGGUGGCGAAGGCGGCCUUCUGGACAGUGACUGACGCUGAGACGCGAAAGCGUGGGGAGCAAACAGG